RNAcentral lists this non-coding RNA (91 nucleotides) under uncultured Mantoniella. Lineage: Eukaryota; Viridiplantae; Chlorophyta; Mamiellophyceae; Mamiellales. The record is from RNAcentral.
UUAUUUUAUUUUAUUUUAUUUUAUUUUAUUUUACUCCGAAUAACAUCAUCAAUAUUCAAUACAGCCCAGCGAGAAAGAAUAGAGCCGCCAC